UCCGAAUUGGUGUAGGGGUUAACAUUGCCGCCUCUCAUUCACGUGAUUUAUCUGUUCAUGUGAUUUAUCGCGGCAGCCCGGGGUUCGAUUCCCCGAUUCGGAA
Mycena olivaceomarginata is the source of this 103-nucleotide non-coding RNA. Lineage: Eukaryota; Fungi; Basidiomycota; Agaricomycetes; Agaricales; Mycenaceae. The record is from the annotation of a GenBank genome assembly.